This 435-nucleotide ribosomal RNA is filed under the name uncultured bacterium. RNAcentral's name for it is "bacterial SSU rRNA". It matches the Rfam family "Bacterial small subunit ribosomal RNA", at positions 30 to 469 of the family's 1533-position model. The record is from RNAcentral.
AUUGAACGCUGGCGGAAUGCUUUACACAUGCAAGUCGAACGGCAGCACGGGGCAACCUGGUGGCGAGUGGCGAACGGGUGAGUAAUACAUCGGAACGUGCCCAAUCGUGGGGGAUAACGUAGCGAAAGUUACGCUAAUACCGCAUACGAUCUACGGAUGAAAGCGGGGGAUCGCAAGACCUCGCGCGAAUGGAGCGGCCGAUGUCAGAUUAGGUAGUUGGUGGGGUAAAGGCUCACCAAGCCGACGAUCUGUAGCUGGUCUGAGAGGACGACCAGCCACACUGGGACUGAGACACGGCCCAGACUCCUACGGGAGGCAGCAGUGGGGAAUUUUGGACAAUGGGCGCAAGCCUGAUCCAGCCAUUCCGCGUGCAGGAUGAAGGCCUUCGGUUGUAAACUGCUUUGUACGGUAACGAAACGGUGAGCUCUAAUACAG